UGGGGAAUUUUGGACAAUGGGCGAAAGCCUGAUCCAGCAAUGCCGCGUGCAGGAUGAAGGCCUUCGGGUUGUAAACUGCUUUUGUACGGAACGAAACGGUUCGCCUUAAUACGGUGGGCUAAUGACGGUACCGUAAGAAUAAGCACCGGCUAACUACGUGCCAGCAGCCGCGGUAAUACGUAGGGUGCGAGCGUUAAUCGGAAUUACUGGGCGUAAAGCGUGCGCAGGCGGUUAUAUAAGACAGAUGUGAAAUCCCCGGGCUCAACCUGGGACCUGCAUUUGUGACUGUAUAGCUAGAGUACGGUAGAGGGGGAUGGAAUUCCGCGUGUAGCAGUGGAAUGCGUAGAUAUGCGGAGGAACACCGAUGGCGAAGGCAAUCCCCUGGACCUGUACUGACGCUCAUGCACGAAAGCGUGGGGAGCAAACAGGAUUAGAUACCCUGGUAGUCCACGCCCUAAACGAUGUCAACUGGUUGUUGGGUCUUCACUGACUCAGUAACGAAGCUAACGCGUGAAGUUGACCGCCUGGGGAGUACGGCCGCAAGGUUG
This 548-nucleotide ribosomal RNA is filed under the name uncultured bacterium. Its description in RNAcentral is "bacterial SSU rRNA". It matches the Rfam family "Bacterial small subunit ribosomal RNA", at positions 355 to 896 of the family's 1533-position model. The record is from RNAcentral.